CUGGAGCUCAACUCCCCUGAUACUUAGAGAAGAUAGGAGGCACCAGGACACGAUUCCGUCACAUCGAAAUCAUAUAGAUUUCGCAAACACCCGCGUGAUCCUAAAAAAAAUUUGAGCGAGAAAAGGAGUAGAGUUAAAGAUUUCCUAAGACGGAAGCCUCACCACAGCAAAGAAGAGGAGAAAAAUGAAACCUACUCUCCGAUAUAACUAAGACUCAAAAC
Molecule: long non-coding RNA, 221 nt
Filed under: Hordeum vulgare
Lineage: Eukaryota; Viridiplantae; Streptophyta; Magnoliopsida; Poales; Poaceae
Description: long non-coding RNA (HVUL_LNC010971)
Source: RNAcentral